Molecule: ribosomal RNA, 468 nt
Filed under: uncultured bacterium
Lineage: Bacteria
Description: partial 16S ribosomal RNA
Rfam family: Bacterial small subunit ribosomal RNA
Source: RNAcentral
GACGAACGCUGGCGGCGUGCUUAACACAUGCAAGUCGAACGGAAAGGCCCUGCGUGUGUGGGGUGCUCGAGUGGCGGAGGGGAAAGUAACAGGAACGUAACCAGACCUUGCCUUUGGGAUAACUUCAGGAAACGGGGGCGAAUACCGGAUAGGAACUCGUGCUGAAUGGUGGGGGGUGGAAAGAUUCGGCGGUUGGGGAUGGACUCGCGGCUUAUCAGCUUGUUGGGGGGGUGGUGGCUUACCACGGCUUUGAGGGGUAGCCGGACUGAGAGGGUGACCGGCCACAUUGGGACUGGGGUAGGGGCCAGACUGAUACGGGAGGCAGGAGUGGGGGAUAUUGGACGAUGGGCGGAAGGCUGAUGCAGCAACGCCGCGUGCGGGAUCACGGCCUUCCGGGUGUAAACCGCUUUCGCCUGUGACGAAGCGUGAGUGACGGUAACGGGUAAAGAAGCCCCGGCUAACUACGUG